This 268-nucleotide ribosomal RNA is filed under the name Acinetobacter baumannii. Its description in RNAcentral is "partial 23S ribosomal RNA". It matches the Rfam family "Bacterial large subunit ribosomal RNA", at positions 1 to 260 of the family's 2925-position model. Lineage: Bacteria; Pseudomonadati; Pseudomonadota; Gammaproteobacteria; Moraxellales; Moraxellaceae. The record is from RNAcentral.
GGGUUGUGAGGUUAAGCGACUAAGCGUACACGGUGGAUGCCCUGGCAGUCAGAGGCGAUGAAGGACGUGCUAAUCUGCGAAAAGCGUCGGUAAGGUGAUAUGAACCGUUACAGCCGGCGAUGUCCGAAUGGGGAAACCCAGUGCAAUUCGUUGCACUAUCGUUAACUGAAUACAUAGGUUAACGAGGCGAACCGGGGGAACUGAAACAUCUAAGUACCCCGAGGAAAAGAAAUCAACCGAGAUUCCCCCAGUAGCGGCGAGCGAACGG